AUCUGAUAGAAUGGUUUUCAAACAAGCUUAUUAUUUAUUUCAGCGGUAUGUGCUCACCUACAGGUUCAGCCAAGAUCACUUGGAGCUCCUAUUUAAUUCAAUCAGAGCGUCAGGUAGGGUUGGUGUUCUUUUAAUUACAAUUUUGAAAAUAUACUGUGCCGUCAUGAGAGGCUACACAGCUCUUAGCGGGACUGUUCAAUUAGUGCGAGGACACAAAGCUCAAGUAUGAACAAGGAUUUUAUUAUAGUUCUAAGGAAUUAACAGAAACAGCGUGUCAAAUUCAAAAAGGUAACUCAGGGUCAGGUCUACCUUCAACAGAAAACUUAAAUGACGCUUCUUCUUGGCGGUAAACCUGAUUUCCUCAGGUAAGUAAACAGUCUUUUCAACCUUACUUUACUGGGUGUCCUAGCCCGAGGCUAUUCCAGUUGUAAGUCCUUCUAAUGUCUGGUGGUGUUUCCAGCCUUCCGUUUUCCUCACUGGAAACGAUACUGGAGCUGUCUGGUCCUUCCCAGAACGCACAACCCGCAGCUUGUCUCCCAACAAAAACCCCUCUCCCACUAACAGUGUCUCUGGUCCUUAAAACCCUUCAGGUCAUCAAACCAUGAUCAGUCUCAGGUGUGCGGGAAUGCCAUGUUUUGACGGGUGGAGUUCCCGACUCCACCAGCAGAUAGAGCCAUAGCUGCUCAUGGUUGCAGCCAUCUCAGGGGGAUGUAGCACCCUUCCAGGACACAGCCUCUCGUGACAUCACAAUACCUAAUGAAUAUCUUUGUCUUGUGCUGAGUGCUGCAGAGAGGGUGAUCCGCCAAGCUUCACCAAUGCCAGCUCCUAAGGUGUCGACAGUCACACACAUCGUCCGGGAGGAGAUUGGAACGGAAGAUGUUUUUCUGCUUGGGGAACACAUUGAGUAGACUCAGUUUGGCAUCGACAACCAUCAUUCUGACUUGUUGUCAUUGGUUGUGCCUGUGUUUCUCAAAAUAAGGCUGCACCACAUUACCAAAGUCACCUCUCUUGAACUGCAGAAAGGGAGCACGAGGAAGA
Long non-coding RNA from Esox lucius (northern pike), 1038 nucleotides. The record is from Ensembl. Lineage: Eukaryota; Metazoa; Chordata; Actinopteri; Esociformes; Esocidae.